Molecule: long non-coding RNA, 1414 nt
Organism: Papaver somniferum (opium poppy)
Lineage: Eukaryota; Viridiplantae; Streptophyta; Magnoliopsida; Ranunculales; Papaveraceae
Exons: 6
Source: RefSeq, a predicted model, not a curated record
CAAUUUCCUAGGCGGCCAUUUUCCCAUUCACCUUAUCUCUUCAAGCCAUAUAUCAUUUAUCUUCCAUUCGAUAUUCUCGAGAGAGAAAGAGAGAUACCGCAGCUCAUUUCUCUUUUCCUCCGUUCACUUCCAUCACCCCCACACUUCUGCCAUCACCACAACAGAUCUACCACCAGCAUCCACUACUUCAUCACCACCAGAACACCUUCUUCAUCUUCUUCUUCUCCAUUUACAUGUCUAAGUUAAACUCUAAUGUUAACUAAAACCCUAAAAAUUAUCUCGAUCGAGCUCUUCUAUCACCACUACCAACACCUUUUUCUUAUGUUAAGUGAAACCCUAAAAAGAAUCACCAGUUGAUUGACGCAUAACUCCAACAACAAUCAACAUCAGGAGCAGUUGGUUUACUCGGUCAACCAACACCUUUCUUAUUGUUUUUUGCAUCUUCUUGAUUGGGUUCUAAUGUAUUCUAUACUAUAUUCAUGGAUUGAAUGAUUGCUUAUGGAUUUGUUGUUGGUGGUGAAGUAUGUUGGUGCUGUUUGGAGGUGCUGCCGCUACUGCUACAAGGUGGUAGUGGUUGUCUCUUAAUAAUUACAUGGUUGAAUAUGUUAAAGCUCAAAGGAACAGCUCGACUGAAACGACUCAAAUUCUUUUUCUGAGAAUAGAUAAGGCUGUCGCUGAAUCAUAUGUGCUGAUAGGAUUAUUACCGCCUUAUGCAUACUAAACUUUGUGGAGAUCACUUCAUUUUCUUCACAAUAUUUGUUUGUUAGCUCAACUCUGGUCAUAUACAUGCAUGCUUCUGCUCACGGGGAUGGAAGAACUGAACAACAUUGUUGAACAUGCGAAACAACGACAUCAUAUCAUUGGGCAGUAUGUGGUGGGGAACAAAGGACCAAGAUGUUGGGACCAAAGAUCAAGCUCUGCAUUGUCAAGCUGUACUAUUCAUUUUGAAGGUAGUUAAGAUUUGAAGCAAGUAGAGAGACGAACACGUCAAUCUAUGGUAUUUGAGGCGGCUGCAACGAAGAAAGCUGAAUUCGCAGCCAAGAGAACUUGCAAUCCACAUGGUUACCUUGUUUUUCCAUUCCUCUGCAUCGUCUUGGAAACUAAAUUUGCCUCCUAAAUCAAUGUUAUAAACUUUUCCCCUAAAUUUCCUACAUCAAGCACAUAAAGCGGACACAAAUCAGGAAACAUCAACCAAUAAAAAUACAGAUUUAAAAUUUUUAGGGUUACCUCCUUCCUCUCCUCGACAUCAACUAAACUUAAAUCGCAGAUACAGCUUAAUUAAUCAAUCAACCAAUAAUAUCUCUGUAUUAUGUACAUUAUCUUUUUUCUUGCAUUUUCUUGAUUGUUCUGUUCCAAAUGAUCAGAUAUGCAAAUUGGACCAAGUAUAAGAUUCGUUUUGAGCAGAUUCAUAUUA